This 85-nucleotide non-coding RNA is filed under the name Salibacterium qingdaonense. The record is from RNAcentral. Lineage: Bacteria; Bacillati; Bacillota; Bacilli; Caryophanales; Bacillaceae.
UAACCAGUUUCACGAGGAACUGCUGAACGAUCAGAAGUCAGCUUCGGCCAUAGUACCAUGUGGUCCUAGGACAUAUGGGAAGGGC